CUACGGAGUGCUCCAGUGAGGAAUAUUGCACAAUGGGGGGAACCCUGAUGCAGCAACGCCGCGUGGAGGAUGACGCAUUUCGGUGUGUAAACUCCUUUUAUAUGUCAAGAAGAUGACGGUAGCAUAUGAAUAAGCACCGGCUAACUCCGUGCCAGCAGCCGCGGUAAUACGGAGGGUGCAAGCGUUACUCGGAAUCACUGGGCGUAAAGGACGCGUAGGCGGGUUGGAAAGUCAGGUGUGAAAUCCUACAGCUUAACUGUAGAACUGCACUUGAAACUUCUAAUCUAGAGUAUGGGAGGGGGAGAUGGAAUUAGUGGUGUAGGGGUAAAAUCCGUAGAUAUCACUAGGAAUACCUAAAGCGAAGGCGAUCUCCUGGAGCAUUACUGACGCUAAGGCGUGAAAGCGUGGGGAGCAAACAGGAUUAGAUACCCUAGUAGUC
This 439-nucleotide ribosomal RNA is filed under the name uncultured bacterium. Its description in RNAcentral is "partial 16S ribosomal RNA". It matches the Rfam family "Bacterial small subunit ribosomal RNA", at positions 339 to 795 of the family's 1533-position model. The record is from RNAcentral.